Molecule: long non-coding RNA, 362 nt
Organism: Capra hircus (goat)
Lineage: Eukaryota; Metazoa; Chordata; Mammalia; Artiodactyla; Bovidae
Exons: 3
Source: RefSeq, a predicted model, not a curated record
CUUGGGGGCGAGCCUGACCUUGAAGGCUCUCCAGAAUCCAGCAUCAGAGGGCUGUCUUACUCUCUUCACCUGUCCCCCUCUUUGAGGAACCCGGAAUCUCUGGGGCAGGGACGAUGCUGACAGCCCAAACGGACCAAGAUAUGAAGGAGGAGCAGGAUUGCCAAUAAGAACGUGAGAGUGAGAAGGUUCUGGGAGCAGAGAGCAGCAUGUGUCAAGGCCCGUUUCUGCUCACGGUGUCCAAGGACUCGACAGACUUUCAGUACGGCUGGUGAGUGGUGAAGAGACUGAGAUCAGAGAGAUUAAGUCAUCAUCCAACUAAUUAAGUACCCAUGGGACUUUCAUCAAGACUGACAAUAUUCUGG